RNAcentral lists this ribosomal RNA (466 nucleotides) under uncultured bacterium. RNAcentral describes it as "partial 16S ribosomal RNA". It matches the Rfam family "Bacterial small subunit ribosomal RNA", at positions 28 to 507 of the family's 1533-position model. The record is from RNAcentral.
GAUGAACGCUGGCGGCGUGCUUAACACAUGCAAGUCGAACGAUGAAGCCCAGCUUUCUGGGUGGAUUAGUUGCGAACGGGUGAGUAACACGUGAGUAACCUGCCCUUAACUCUGGGAUAAGCCUGGUAAACUGGGUCUAAUACCGGAUAGGAGCGUCCACCGCAUGGUGGGUGUUGGAGAGAUUUAUCGGUUUUGGAUGGACUCGCGGCCUAUCAGCUUGUUGGUGAGGUAAUGGCUCACCAAGGCGAAGACGGGUAGCCGGCCUGUGAGGGUGACCGGGCACCAUGGGACUGCGAGACGGCGCAGAAUCCAACGGGAGGCAGCAGUGGGGAAUAUUGCACAAUGGGGGCACGCCUGAUGCAGCGGCGCCGCGUGAGGGAUGACGGCCUUCGGGUUGUAAACCUCUUUCAGUAGGGAAGAAGAGAAAGUGACGGUACCUGCAGAAGAAGCAACGGCUAACUACGUG